RNAcentral lists this ribosomal RNA (465 nucleotides) under uncultured bacterium. RNAcentral's name for it is "bacterial SSU rRNA". It matches the Rfam family "Bacterial small subunit ribosomal RNA", at positions 338 to 795 of the family's 1533-position model. The record is from RNAcentral.
CCUACGGGAUGCACCAGUGGGGAAUAUUGCACAAUGGGCGCAAGCCUGAUGCAGCCAUGCCGCGUGUGUGAAGAAGGCCUUCGGGUUGUAAAGCACUUUCAGCGGGGAGGAAGGCGUUAAGGUCAUUAACCUUAGCGAUUGACGUUACCCGCAGAAGAAGCACCGGCUAACUCCGUGCCAGCAGCCGCGGUAAUACGGAGGGUGCAAGCGUUAAUCGGAAUUACUGAGCGUAAAGCGCACGCAGGCGGUCUGUCAAGUCGGAUGUGAACACCCCGGGCUCAACCUGGGAACUGCAUUCGAAACUGGCAGGCUAGAGUCCUGUAGAGGGGGGUAGAAUUCCAGGUGUAGCGGUGAAAUGCGUAGAGAUCUGGAGGAAUACCGGUGGCGAAGGCGGCCCCCUGGACAAAGACUGACGCUCAGGUGCGAAAGCGUGGGGAGCAAACAGGAUUAGAUACCCGCGUAGUC